AUUCUCCCACCAACCGGGGGUGCAGUCGCUCUUCGUCCAACUCCAAUGUUAGCUAACAAGCCAGACACUCAGUUGACACCCUCAAACUUCGGCAGCAGCCAAGCUGCAUAGUCGACAUGGCGAUCGAUAAAAUAACACAAGAUUUUUCUAAAGACAGAUAAAAGUCUUCCAAGUGUUUUGGAAUGAGAUUUGUGACGUAAUGCGCAUCCACGAUGUGUGACAUUUGAAGAACAAUUGAGUUCGGAAGAAAAAUCUUGAUUCCAGUGGAAUCUUCCAAUAUUUUUUUACCACUUGCACACACACCCACCCAACCCCUACACACGCUGCCCAGCCAUGCCCGUGCAAGCCCCACAAUGGACAGAGUUCCUGCUGUGUCCCAUUUGCACUCAGACGUUCGAGGAGACGGUGCGGCGGCCCAUUUCGCUGGGCUGUGGCCACACAGUCUGCAAGAUGUGCCUGAACAAGCUGCACCGCAAGGCCUGCCCCUUCGACCAGACGGCCAUCGCCACUGACAUCGAGCAGCUGCCCGUCAACACAGCCCUGCUGCAGCUGGUGGGGGGACAGGUUCCCAAGGUCCAGCCGGUGGCCCUUAUCACCAGCCCAGAAGACGCGCAGCACUAUGAGGAGGCCAGUCAGUGUGUGGAGGAGCUGGCCCUCUACCUCAAACCCCUCAGCAACACCAGAGGUGUGGGCCUGAGCAGCACGACCCUGAGUAUGCUGAGUCGACCCAUGCAGAGGAAGCUGGUGACCCUGGUCCACUGUCAGCUGGUGGAGGAGGAGGGCCGGGUGCGGGCCAUGAGGGCAGCAAGGUCUCUGGGGGAGCGCACGGUAACAGAGCUCAUCCUGCAGCACCAAAACCCCCAGCAAUUGUCGUCCAAUUUGUGGGCCGCCGUCCGGGCCAGGGGCUGCCAGUUCUUGGGUCCAGCCAUGCAGGAGGAGGCUCUGAAGCUGGUGCUGCUGGCUCUGGAGGACGGCUCGGCCCUGUCCAGGAAGGUCCUGGUGCUGUUCGUGGUCCAGCGGCUGGAGCCACGCUUCCCCCAGGCCUCCAAAACCAGCAUAGGCCACGUGGUGCAACUCCUUUACAGGGCCUCCUGCUUUAAGGUGACCAAGCGGGACGAGGACUCGUCGCUGAUGCAGCUGAAGGAGGAGUUCCGGACGUACGAGGCGCUGCGGCGCGAACACGACUCCCAGAUUGUCCAGAUCGCCAUGGAGGGCGGCCUCCGCAUCGCCCCUGACCAGUGGUCCUCCCUGCUCUACGGGGACCAGUCACACAAGUCCCACAUGCAGUCCAUCAUCGACAAGUUGCAGACGCCGGCUUCGUUUGCCCAGAGCGUCCAGGAGUUGACCAUCGCCCUGCAGAGGACGGGCGACCCCGCCAACCUUAACCGCCUCCGACCACACCUGGAGCUCCUGGCCAACAUCGACCCGAGCCCCGACGCCCCUCCUCCCACGUGGGAGCAGCUGGAGAAAGGACUGGUGGCGGUGAAGACUGUAGUCCACGGCCUGGUGGAUUUCAUCCAGAACCACAGCAAAAAGGGAGCCGACCCACAACAGCCCCCCCAGCACAGUAAGUACAAGACUUACAUGUGUCGGGACAUGAAGCAGAAGGGAGGCUGUCCCCGAGGAGCCAGCUGUACCUUCGCCCACUCUCAGGAGGAGCUGGAGAAGUACCGUAAAAUGAACAAGCGUUUGGUAGCUCGCCUCCCCGGCUCCUCUGGCCUGUUGCAGGACGAUGGACUCUCUCUGGACGUGGGGGUGACCCGGAAACCCUCGCCCCUCACCAACGGCUCAGCCGUACCCCCCCAUGCCCCAGCUCAUCGCCCGUGGCAUUGAACUUGUGACCUACGACCUGUUGCGCAAGCCCAAGAUGGACGGCGGGAGCAACAGCUCCCCGGGAUCGCCCCCUGACUCUCUGGACUCGGGGCCCAAACAAGGGUACCCCCAGCCACCCCAUGCAAUGGGCUACUCCAGGGGGCCAGGAGACCACAUGUCCAUGCCCAAGCAGAUGCCCAGUGGCGUGGUGCCCCGGGGGCCUCAGAUGUACCCACAGCAGCAGCAACCUGAGAUGUACUACUCCGACUCUCGCCCCCCCACCCUCCGCCUCGCAGUACGAGCCCUCGCAGUACCCCCAAGGUUACCCCUACCAGCAGCCCACCCAGUACGCCCCCCAGCGCUACAUCCGCAACCCCCCUCCUCCCAGCGAGCCCGCCGGACCCCCCUACCAGGACCCUUACCCCGACUACGGCCCACCCGAUCGCCCUUACCCGGCCCCCCACUCGGGCCCUCCCUUUUCCUACCCUCCACCAUCCCACUAUGACACCCGGGGCCGCCACGGCCCUUACUCCAGCCCCCCUCCUCCCCCCCAGCCCUACCCCUCGCAGAGGGACGACAUGGUCCGGAUGAGCCCCGCGCCCCUGGAAGGGCCCCCUUACCACCAGGAGCAGGCUGCCAGGGAGAGGUACCCCCCAGAGGGAUUCUACCCACCGGGGACCCAGCCCCAACCCUUGAGGUCCUACGUCAGAGAGCCGUACGGGCGCUCCUCCCAGCCCAGCCUAGACUACUUGCACCACCGCCGUAAGGAGCUGAUGGCCCAGCUGGAGGAGAGGAAGGUCAUCGCUCCCUCGCCCACCCUCCCCCACACCUUCCCCAGUGACUACCCCCCAGAGUAUGGGGAGGAGAGCUCCAAAGCCUUUGGGAAGUGCAGGGAGCCUGACUACGCGGGCCAGUACUCUCCCUGGUCCUGUGACACCAUCGGCUCCUACAUCGGCACCAAGGACUCCAAGCCCAAAGAUGUCAUGGCGCCCGGUGCCAUGGAGAUGAUGAAUGUGGAUGGUAAAGGUAGGCGGGGGGAGCCCUCCAUGGAGGCCCAGGUCAGGCGGGGGACAGAGGUCAAGGACGACGACCCCAUCAUCCCUUUCGGCCCCCAGCCCACUGUGUCGCGCUUCGGGGCCAUCUCACGCACCUCCAAGACAGGCUACCAGACGACAGGCCCCAUGCAGGCCUUGGGCUCCGCCCAGGGACCCAACCCCAAGCACAUGGCCAUAGCCGCAGAGUACUCCUAUGGGAACCACGGGGGCUGGGGCGGAGCCUCCUACCCCUCCCACCAAACUGUCUCCUCCUCUCAGGGACACUUCAGUGAAAGGCUGCCUAUGCCAACUCAGGACAGAGAGCAGCUGAAGACUGAGCUCCAACAGGUCAACCAGCAGAUCAACCAACAGUCUCAGAUCCACGGCAUGGAGCUCUCCCAGCCAGGUCAGAACCAGGGCCAGCAGGGGGGGAAGUGGCCUGGUCCAGCAGGGGGUUCCGGCAGCGCUGCCCCAGUGUCCAGCGAACAGCUCAGUAUGGAGCUCCACCAGGUGGAGAGGGAGAUUGGCAAGAGGACCCGCGAGAUGGACAUGGACAGCCAGGUGGCUCAUGAGGUCCUGUACAAGACGAAGACUGCAGAGAAUGGCCAGCAGGACCACAAGGCCCAGCUGGAGGAGAUUGCUCUGGCGCUGGGUGAGGUGUCGAAUGGCUCCAGCGGUCUAGGGCAGGACGGCGGUGUGGGCGGAGCCAUGCUAUCACUGACCACUAAGGCGUCAUCGCUUAGCCUGUGUUCUGAGCCAGGGCCCGGGGGCUCCGAUCUGCAGAAGAACGGUGUGGUCCAUUCCUGCUCCUAGACCAUACACACUGCGACACACACAACAAACACACACUCAGAGCCUUUGUUCUAAAGCAUGCACACACAUACUUGUUUUAUUUAGAAGAUGAGCAGUAUCUGCCGUGAUAUGAAUUUUCUUUCUUUUUGUUCUGUGAAUGAGCAUUUUUUUUAAUUUUUUUUUUAAUGACUUUGAUCACCUGGAAACCAUUUGAUGACAUUUAUUUCUCUUGUGUUUUUUUUUACUGGGAUUAUAAAACAAGACUCUCAAAGUAGAUAUGUCAAAAAAGCAGAUUAUGAUAAUAAUUGUUCAAAGAAGGCUAUCAAUCCUACAUAGAUAUCACAUACCAAGACACGUAGUGGAUCGAAGGGUGGAGUAUUUCUCAAUUCUCCCCCUCUAUUUUUGUGCACAUUACCAGGGUAAGCAACUUGCAGGGACCUUAAUACCCCCAAAGAUGGUUUUAAGGCUGUGAAAUGUAAACGUUCAAUUUUGUAACCAAUUUAGUAUCGAAUCCUAACUCAAGUUAUGGUCGUUUUGGUCUUAUGUACUACAUAGCUAACAAAAGUCUUGGUGUUUUACGACGUAGUUAUGUCAGCUGUCAUAAGUAUCAUGUAAGUGUCUGUUUAUAAUGCAUUAUAGCCUGAUAUUUUAUUUUAUAAGGCAAGUCAGUUAAGAACAAAUUCUUAUUUACAAUGACGGCCUAGGAACAGUGGGUUUAACUGCCUUGUUCAGGGGCAGAAAGACCGCUUUUUUAUUUUUUUGAUUUUAACUCGUCAGCUCGGGAAUUCGAUCUAGCAACCUUUCGGUUACUGGCCCAACGCUCUAACCACUAGGCUACCUGCCGCCCCGGUAUGACACGUUGUUUCUUUCUGAUACCUUUGACAGCUAACUAACGGUUAGUCAGUGUAGUAACCAUUCUGUUGGCGUUCAGUAAUAAAGGCUAGUGUUCAGGAAUACGCCACCCCCUGAAUCGUAAAACGUGGUUGACCAGAUGGGGGGGGAGUGAAAACGUUCCACCAACGCUCAGUCAACCCUCAGAGCCAAACAAGACCAUGUCGCUUCAAGCCGCAUGCCGUUUUUAACCCGCCAUGAGAAGUCUGAUUUUUAUUAGUGCAUUUUAUGAAUACAUCAUAUGUCUGUUUCAUACUUGAAAAGCAGUAUCUUAUUAACCAAAGCAUUCUGUUUUAAAGAUUGCAAAAUGUAUCUUUUUGAUAAUGAGCUUUUCUCAUGUUUUCUAUAAGGGAACAUACUAUGUGCUUCUCAUGGGAUGUGGUGUGACUUGCUGCAGAAAUGUCUUGUUUGUACUUUGAUGGGCUGGAAUUCAAUAGAACUUGCAGUGUGGAUAUGCAAAUUCCAGGGAGUGUAACACAACAUUAAUUUUCACACUGCAGGAAGAACAUUUUCCAUGUUGCGAGAGAGAUUGAAUCCCCUCCCAGUGUGAAUUUAAUCAUAUGGGGUGAUUGGUAUUUUUGUUCCUCAUCUUCCUCAGAGCUCCUUAUCUGGUCAUUGAAAAGGCCUCCCCAUUGGGAUUAUCUUGUCAUUGGUUCUCCUUAACUUCUAUGAAGUUGCGUUCCCUUGUUUGUUUUUUUGCUAGGGUAAAUCGCGAUUAAGGGGGUGUGGCCUGCCUGAACGCUAGUCCGUAAUUGGAGGGGAAGUAAAAUGGUUUAAUAUGCAAAUUUUUGGUCCUCUUGUUCUUAAUGCGUGUGUAAAAGGUGUCUGUAGUCUGCCAAACAGUCCUUUCAAUGGUUUGUGCAUCAAUGUCAACAGUUAAAGAGUAGCGAAGUGUCUUAAAUAAUUGUCAUUCUACAGGCUUAAAAAAAAGUCCUUCUAUCCCUUUUUUGUUUUUAACCGUGUACUAUUAGUUCAUUUUAGAACAAGUCUGUAUCAAGACACAUAUUCAGGUUAUCUUAGUGGAUUCAAAACCCAGAACCUUGGGCCACACAUGUGAGGCUUAAAGCAAGCAGCCAGUGUGUCUUGCCCCUCAAAAAGCCUCUACUCAAAGUCUUGACCUUUUUAAUGAUAUUUUUCACUAUAUCGUUUUCUGGUGUUAUUAUUAUUGUAAGCUAUAAAAACAAAAGAGUUGCACACUCCAUAUGUAUAACCUCACAGUAAGUUAUUGGGUAAAAAAAAACACAUUUUUCGGCAUUACUGUGCCUUUUGAAACGUUAGUGUUUUUUUUCGUUUUUUACUGAAUAAAUUACUGGGAGGUAAAACGUAUGGAGUGUGCGACUCUCUUUGUUUUUGUAGCUUACAGUUUAUUCACCGUUAGUCAAAACCUCUACACUAAAUAAUGUUCUCUGGGUGUGCGCCAGCUCAUGCUUUUUAUUAUUAGCAUUAUUACUUUAUUAUUGAUGUUCCUGUCAUGGUAAAUGUUUAUCGCUGAUGCUCGUUAAGGAGCUCUCUGCCUUUUGUAAACAAUCGUCAUGAUUGGCCAUUGAAAAAAAAACUGAGUUGAAAUGCAAAGAGGUGGAUCCCAGUGCUCAAACGGUUACGAAUCCACGGAAUGUAGGUGACGAUCGGUUUUCAUAAUUUGGGUUCAGGAAAAAAACGGGUCAGGUUUUUGUCAGUGUAGAUGGGUGUUGAGGACCAGGGUCAGUUAUAGGGUGUUUUUUUUUUUUCGUUUUUUUUUUUUCAACCACACUUCAUGCCUCUUGGGCUACUCUUUGCUAUAUUUUAUUGUUUAGGUAAACAACUCACUUAUACAUAUGAGUAUGUAUACAUACAUUAAUAUACUAAGCACUGUUAAUGUGCCACCUCUUAUUCUACUCGCUCAGCAUUUAUAUUAAAUGAUCUCUACUUAGAAUCAGCUAAAUGUUUUAUUUUAUUUCUCCACUGGUUGCCAACAGACUUUAUCCUUUCCCAGUUGAAGGACUUCUGUGCACAUUGACGUGUGUUCACUUAAUCUUUUUGUGUUCAAACAAAGAUAAGUUCUCUACUGAAAUAUGCUUCCGAAAGAAGACACCUUUAAUGAUGAAAAUUUACAACAACAAAAAAGUUUUUGUGUGUGUUAGGUUGUAGAAAAUGUACAGUCUUUUUUUUCAAAGUAAAGUGUGCUGUACUGGGUGACGGUUUGGAAAUGUUAGAAAUGUGUUGGGGUUUUCUCUUUUUAAGAGGUAAUCCGGGUAAGCCUUUAAUUUAGUCAAAGGCUUGCUUCAUAUUCUCAAGGAAAACUCCUAGGCCAUUCAUUCCAACAGUAUGAGAUCAUUUGGAAGCACCCUAACCAAAUUGAAAGCAAUCUUAAUUGGCACACUAAUUUUGUCACAACCAGCACUAAUCACAUGACAGGCAGAGACGCAUGUUUUGUCAUAUUUAGAACAAAAAAUGUGUUUCUGCUGGGGAAAAUGUAAUUGACUAGUUGGGUUUGUUUUUCUUUCUUCCUGUCGUUGAGUGAAAUCACUUACUUCCAAGUCUUACAGUGAUCUAUAUAACGCAUCCCAAGGCGAAGCAUCAUGUCCAUCCACAGGGGAACUGUCAAACUUAUCCACACACAGGUUGUCAUUUGUUUCAGAAUAGUCAUGAAAAUGUGCUUACUCUUAAGUCCCUCCAGCCGUGAGCCUUCAAGAGAGAGUUCACUUCAAAUUUGUCUAAUGAUUUUAGAUAUCAAAAGUGGUCUGUUGACUUGAGGCCACAUUCCAUGCCAUCUGUUGUGAAGAUCCAGCUAUAAGCCUCAAUCCCCAAAUCAAUGGCAAAGAUGGACCUGAACCUAAUUCAGUGCCUAUCAUUUCCACUCAUUUUGGGUUUAAGGCAUAUAGUUUAUAUACAUCUCAAGUGGUUUAACGUUUAUUCAAGGUCACGUCCCAAACUGUGUGUAAUGUUUUUGGGACGUGACCUUGAAUAAACGUUAAACCACUUGAGGUCUAAAACGUGCAACAAACUUUGAUUUUGGAGUAAACUGUCCCUUAAAGCCUAUAGGUGAGUAGAAUUAACAAUGAUAUGGUUUCUAUGGGAAUAGCAAUGAUGUUCAUGUCAGUCUCAUGCUUUCAUUUGUUUCUGAGUGAAACUGCUGCCUACCCCUCCUUCACACAGCCAAUGAACUCUUCCCCCAAACCACAGAACUCUUACUGCUGUUUUGGGCUCAUUUUAAUUCUUAACUUUUGGGAAAAACUCAAUGGCUGUUUUUAUAUGAUUAAUCCCUUGUAAAAUAUCUCUUAAAUUAAGGUACAGUUUUAAUUUCAGCAAGAAAAUCCGUUUUUAUAUGUAUUAUACUCCAUUAAGGAAUGUUUAGAAUUAUCUUCCUCCAAUGUGGAUGUAGCCAUUAUUACACCAUUUUAUGACUUUGUAAGAGAAUUCACUGUGUGAAAAUUGGUUUGCAUUUUUGUAUAAUACAAUCUGCUUUUUUUGUUUGAUACGAGAGGGAGGUCAAACUGGAAGUUUUUAAGAGAGAAAUGAACCUGUGAAAUUGAGAGAAUCUUUUUUAAUUUAUGUACAACAGUGAUUCUAUGCUGAGGGGGAUGGAUUAAAUGAUAUUGCUAACUCUG
Salmo salar (Atlantic salmon) is the source of this 8116-nucleotide non-coding RNA. NCBI's taxonomy places the organism in Eukaryota, Metazoa, Chordata, Actinopteri, Salmoniformes, Salmonidae. The record is from RefSeq and is a predicted model, not a curated record.